Drosophila gunungcola (fruit fly) is the source of this 509-nucleotide long non-coding RNA. RefSeq lists it as uncharacterized. The record is from RefSeq and is a predicted model, not a curated record. NCBI's taxonomy places the organism in Eukaryota, Metazoa, Arthropoda, Insecta, Diptera, Drosophilidae. The transcript has 3 exons.
UGUGUGCGGUCUUUUCGGGGGGAGUUUAGUGGGUGGCAUCCUCAGCCUCAGACUCAAAUUAAAAUUCAGUUCUCAGCUUGCAGCCAUCGAGCUUUCCCCGCCGAGCUUUCGAGUGUGCGUCCUCCUUGCGAUUUCCACGUACUCGUAAUUAGAGCCUGCAAUUAGACGAAGGCAGUGCACUGGAUGGACCAUCCACAUACAACCCUGAGCGCCAUUUCAACUAGGCGUCCAGACACUUAAUCUAUAGUUAAGACCUCUGGAGAUCGAGACGCACACGUGAACAGCCGGAGAAGUCGCACAACCUAAGCAUAAAUCUGGCCGGUGCAUUAAUUAAGCUUAAACGCAGGCUUCCUCUUGGAGCUCAUCACAAAGUCGCACAAAUUGCUGCCCCAAGACGCUGGUCAAUUGAAUUAAAUCGUUUUGGCUUGCUUUUGUGCUCCAAUCAGUGCGCGAAAUUGAAGACAACCAUGGGGGAAGAUUGCCCUUUGGGGAGAUUGUUUUUACCCAGU